This is a long non-coding RNA of Sesamum indicum (sesame), 455 nucleotides long. RefSeq annotates it as acyl-CoA-binding domain-containing protein 3. Lineage: Eukaryota; Viridiplantae; Streptophyta; Magnoliopsida; Lamiales; Pedaliaceae. The record is from RefSeq and is a predicted model, not a curated record.
UCGGGAGCAUGAACAGAGAGAUGGCAAUGGAAGAAUAUGUUAAUACUUUAGAUCGGGCCGUCCCAGGGUGGAAGGCUGUGGGUGCAGGGGCUAACAUCGACCCCGCCGGAAAAAUAUUGAGUUGAGGCUGAAAUUUAAGGUCAAGAAGCAAGACGACCUGUUCGACUGCUGGAUGGUCUUCUCGACUGGAGAGUGCACCGGCCGGCUAGGUUACUGCUGCACAAAAGGAUCCGAAGAUUAACGCCGCUCGUCCCCAGCUAGUUAUUACACUAGUAACCACACCAUUCAAUACAACAAGAACUGAUUACUUCAAUUCUGUAUUAAUUUAUAACUUGUUCUUAUGUCAAGAUCAGUACUCCCACCUCCAUCCUAAUAUUUUGUAUACCAUUUAUUGAUUAUAACUUGAAACAAUAUUUUACAUUGAAUGAUGGAAUUACCAUCAUACUUGAUACUUC